GAUGAACGCUGGCGGCGUGCCUAAUACAUGCAAGUCGAGCGAACAGAUGAGGAGCUUGCUCCUCUGACGUUAGCGGCGGACGGGUGAGUAACACGUGGAUAACCUACCUAUAAGACUGGGAUAACUUCGGGAAACCGGAGCUAAUACCGGAUAAUAUAUUGAACCGCAUGGUUCAAUAGUGAAAGACGGUUUUGCUGUCACUUAUAGAUGGAUCCGCGCCGCAUUAGCUAGUUGGUAAGGUAACGGCUUACCAAGGCAACGAUGCGUAGCCGACCUGAGAGGGUGAUCGGCCACACUGGAACUGAGACACGGUCCAGACUCCUACGGGAGGCAGCAGUAGGCAAUCUUCCGCAAUGGGCGAAAGCCUGACGGAGCAACGCCGCGUGAGUGAUGAAGGUCUUCGGAUCGUAAAACUCUGUUAUUAGGGAAGAACAAAUGUGUAAGUAACUAUGCACGUCUUGACGGUACCUAAUCAGAAAGCCACGGCUAACUACGUG
This 497-nucleotide ribosomal RNA is filed under the name uncultured bacterium. Its description in RNAcentral is "partial 16S ribosomal RNA". It matches the Rfam family "Bacterial small subunit ribosomal RNA", at positions 28 to 507 of the family's 1533-position model. The record is from RNAcentral.